RNAcentral lists this long non-coding RNA (714 nucleotides) under Oreochromis niloticus (Nile tilapia). Its description in RNAcentral is "lncRNA (ENSONIG00000037415.1)". The record is from RNAcentral. Lineage: Eukaryota; Metazoa; Chordata; Actinopteri; Cichliformes; Cichlidae.
AGCCCUCCCUCUCUCUCUCUCUCUCUCUCUCUCUCCUGUCCAGCUCGAUGAAAGCAUAGUGCUCUGUCUGCUCUCCUGGGAAUAUUUUCCCAUCAUAUAAACAUUUACCUGCUGCUGUGCUGGAGCUGACACCGGCAGGAGGAGGAGGGUGACGGCGCGAGGAGUCCCCGAGGCUGCAGGUGUAGCGGUCACUGCCCAUCCUGGCGAGCAGCAGCAGGUGGUCAGGGUCAAGGGUCAAGCUUUCUGUAACCAUGAGGCAGGCGGUGGAGGCUCAGGUGUUAAGUCCGCACUGUGAGUUGGGAGAACACGGUCAGUAGGAGUGUUUUAUGGUUUAAGGUUAAUGUGCUUACACAUGUUAACCACAGCUUCAGCCUUCUGCUAACGUGUCUGAGUUUCUGCUGCAGGUUUGCGUCAGAUCCUGUCUGACGUCAUAGAUGAGGUGAGGCAGUCUGUGAGUCAGGACAUCGACGGAGCAGAGAUCCUCCACAGUCUGCUCAACGCCGCCUGGCUGCAGUCACUUCUCAAGGUCUGAAAACUUGAAAAACAGAAUUAAAAAUCCUGGUUUCAGUGGUUAGUUUUCAGCAUUCCUCAUUAUACUUUGGGUCAUGCACCAAAAUCUUUUAUCUUAUAUGAGGAAAGAUGACUUACACCAGAUUUUUCUACAAAUAACAUAAAAUACAAAAUGCAGGUAAUGUAAUCUAAAGUACAUGCAAA